RNAcentral lists this ribosomal RNA (469 nucleotides) under uncultured bacterium. RNAcentral's name for it is "bacterial SSU rRNA". It matches the Rfam family "Bacterial small subunit ribosomal RNA", at positions 355 to 822 of the family's 1533-position model. The record is from RNAcentral.
UCGGGAAUAUUGGACAAUGGGGGAAACCCUGAUCCAGCGACGCCGCGUGUGUGAAGAAGGCCUGCGGGUUGUAAAGCCCUUUUGUACGGGAAGAAAUCCUGUCGGUUAAUACCCGGCGGGGAUGACGGUACCGUAAGAAUAAGCACCGGCUAACUUCGUGCCAGCAGCCGCGGUAAUACGAAGGGUGCAAGCGUUAAUCGGAAUUACUGGGCGUAAAGCGUGCGUAGGCGGUUGGCUAAGUCAGAUGUGAAAGCCCUGGGCUCAACCUGGGAAUGGCAUUUGAAACUGGCCGGCUAGAGUGUGAUAGAGGAUGGCGGAAUUCCCGGUGUAGCGGUGAAAUGCGUAGAGAUCGGGAGGAACAUCCGUGGCGAAGGCGGCCAUCUGGAUCAACACUGACGCUGAGGCACGAAAGCGUGGGGAGCAAACAGGAUUAGAUACCCAGGUAGUCCCUGAGCGGGCUGGCAAGGCG